GACGGAGCAACGCCGCGUGAGCGAUGAAGGCCUUCGGGUAGUAAAGCUCUGUUGUUAGGGAAGAACAAGUGCUAGUUGAAUAAGCUGGCACCUUGACGGUACCUAACCAGAAAGCCACGGCUAACUACGUGCCAGCAGCCGCGGUAAUACGUAGGUGGCAAGCGUUAUCCGGAAUUAUUGGGCGUAAAGCGCGCGCAGGUGGUUUCUUAAGUCUGAUGUGAAAGCCCACGGCUCAACCGUGGAGGGUCAUUGGAAACUGGGAGACUUGAGUGCAGAAGAGGAAAGUGGAAUUCCAUGUGUAGCGGUGAAAUGCGUAGAGAUAUGGAGGAACACCAGUGGCGAAGGCGACUUUCUGGUCUGCAACUGACACUGAGGCGCGAAAGCGUGGGGAGCAAACAGGAUUAGAUACCCUGGUAGUCCACGCCGUAAACGAUGAGUGCUAAGUGUUAGAGGGUUUCCGCCCUUUAGUGCUGAAGUUAACGCAUUAAGCACUCCGCCUGGGGAGU
RNAcentral lists this ribosomal RNA (506 nucleotides) under bacterium PE03-7A14. RNAcentral describes it as "bacterial SSU rRNA". It matches the Rfam family "Bacterial small subunit ribosomal RNA", at positions 385 to 881 of the family's 1533-position model. The record is from RNAcentral.